AUUGAACGCUGGCGGCAGGCCUAACACAUGCAAGUCGAGCGGAUGAAGGGAGCUUGCUCCUGGAUUCAGCGGCGGACGGGUGAGUAAUGCCUAGGAAUCUGCCUGGUAGUGGGGGAUAACGUCCGGAAACGGGCGCUAAUACCGCAUACGUCCUGAGGGAGAAAGUGGGGGAUCUUCGGACCCCACGCUAUCAGAUGAGCCUAGGUCGGAUUAGCUAGUUGGUGGGGUAAAGGCCUACCAAGGCGACGAUCCGUAACUGGUCUGAGAGGAUGAUCAGUCACACUGGAACUGAGACACGGUCCAGACUCCUACGGGAGGCAGCAGUGGGGAAUAUUGGACAAUGGGCGAAAGCCUGAUCCAGCCAUGCCGCGUGUGGGAAGAAGGUCUUCGGAUUGUAAAGCACUUUAAGUUGGGAGGAAGGGCAGUAAGUUAAUACCUUGCUGUUUUGACGUUACCAACAGAAUAAGCACCGGCUAACUUCGUG
RNAcentral lists this ribosomal RNA (484 nucleotides) under uncultured bacterium. RNAcentral describes it as "partial 16S ribosomal RNA". It matches the Rfam family "Bacterial small subunit ribosomal RNA", at positions 30 to 507 of the family's 1533-position model. The record is from RNAcentral.